RNAcentral lists this ribosomal RNA (465 nucleotides) under Vreelandella stevensii. RNAcentral's name for it is "partial 16S ribosomal RNA". It matches the Rfam family "Bacterial small subunit ribosomal RNA", at positions 338 to 795 of the family's 1533-position model. Lineage: Bacteria; Pseudomonadati; Pseudomonadota; Gammaproteobacteria; Oceanospirillales; Halomonadaceae. The record is from RNAcentral.
CCUACGGGUGGCAGCAGUGGGGAAUAUUGGACAAUGGGGGGAACCCUGAUCCAGCCAUGCCGCGUGUGUGAAGAAGGCCCUCGGGUUGUAAAGCACUUUCAGUGAGGAAGAACGCCUGGUGGUUAAUACCCAUCAGGAAAGACAUCACUCACAGAAGAAGCACCGGCUAACUCCGUGCCAGCAGCCGCGGUAAUACGGAGGGUGCGAGCGUUAAUCGGAAUUACUGGGCGUAAAGCGCGCGUAGGUGGCUUGAUAAGCCGGUUGUGAAAGCCCCGGGCUCAACCUGGGAACGGCAUCCGGAACUGUCAAGCUAGAGUGCAGGAGAGGAAGGUAGAAUUCCCGGUGUAGCGGUGAAAUGCGUAGAGAUCGGAAGGAAUACCAGUGGCGAAGGCGGCCUUCUGGACUGACACUGACACUGAGGUGCGAAAGCGUGGGUAGCAAACAGGAUUAGAUACCCUUGUAGUC